GAUGAACGCUAGCGGCAGGCCUAACACAUGCAAGUCGAGGGGCAGCACAGGAACAGCAAUGUUUUGGUGGCGACCGGCGGACGGGUGCGUAACGCGUAUGCAACCUACCUUUAACAGGGGGAUAACGGAGAGAAAUUUCCACUAAUACCCCAUAACAUCGAUCAAGGCAUCUUGAUUGGUUGAAAACUCCGGUGGUUAAAGAUGGGCAUGCGUUGUAUUAGGUAGUUGGUGAGGUAAUGGCUCACCAAGCCUACGAUACAUAGGGGGACUGAGAGGUUAGCACCCCAAACUGGUACUGAGACACGGACCAGACUCCUACGGGAGGCAGCAGUGAGGAAUAUUGGUCAAUGGGGGCAACCCUGAACCAGCCAUGCCGCGUGCAGGAAGACGGCUCUAUGAGUUGUAAACUGCUUUUAAACAGGGAUAAAGCACAGUAUGUAUACUGUGUUGAAGCUACUGUAAGAAUAAGGAUCGGCUAACUCCGUGCCAGCAGCCGCGGUAA
This 502-nucleotide ribosomal RNA is filed under the name uncultured bacterium. RNAcentral's name for it is "partial 16S ribosomal RNA". It matches the Rfam family "Bacterial small subunit ribosomal RNA", at positions 28 to 523 of the family's 1533-position model. The record is from RNAcentral.